RNAcentral lists this ribosomal RNA (343 nucleotides) under Escherichia coli. RNAcentral describes it as "partial 23S ribosomal RNA". It matches the Rfam family "Bacterial large subunit ribosomal RNA", at positions 1551 to 1875 of the family's 2925-position model. The record is from RNAcentral. Lineage: Bacteria; Pseudomonadati; Pseudomonadota; Gammaproteobacteria; Enterobacterales; Enterobacteriaceae.
CAAGGCUGAGGCGUGAUGACGAGGCACUACGGUGCUGAAGCGACAAAUGCCCUGCUUCCAGGAAAAGCCUCUAAGCAUCAGGUAACAUCAAAUCGUACCCCAAACCGACACAGGUGGUCAGGUAGAGAAUACCAAGGCGCUUGAGAGAACUCGGGUGAAGGAACUAGGCAAAAUGGUGCCGUAACUUCGGGAGAAGGCACGCUGAUAUGUAGGUGAAGCGACUUGCUCGUGGAGCUGAAAUCAGUCGAAGAUACCAGCUGGCUGCAACUGUUUAUUAAAAACACAGCACUGUGCAAACACGAAAGUGGACGUAUACGGUGUGACGCCUGCCCGGUGCCGGAAG